GACGAACGCUGGCGGCGUGCUUAACACAUGCAAGUCGAACGGUGAAGCUCCAGCUUGCUGGUGUGGCUCAGUGGCGAACGGGUGAGUAACACGUGAGCAACCUGCCCCUGACUCUGGUAUAAGCGCUGGAAACGGCGUCUACUACUGUAUACGAGAAGAGUCCGCAUGGGCACUUUCUGGAAUGUGUUUCGGUUGGGGAUGGGCUGGCGGCUUAUCGGCUUGUUGGUGAGGUAAUGGCUCACCAAGGCGACGACGGGUAGCCGGCCUGAGAGGGCGACCGGCCACACUGGGACUGAGACACGGCCCAGACUCCUACGGGAGGCAGCAGUGGGGAAUAUUGCACAAUGGGCGAAAGCCUGAUGCAGCGACGCCGCGUGAGGGAUGACGGCCUUCGGGUUGUAAACCGCUUUCAGCAGGGAAGAAGCGAAAGUGACGGUACCUGCAGAAGAAGCACCGGCUAACUACGUG
RNAcentral lists this ribosomal RNA (468 nucleotides) under uncultured bacterium. RNAcentral's name for it is "partial 16S ribosomal RNA". It matches the Rfam family "Bacterial small subunit ribosomal RNA", at positions 28 to 507 of the family's 1533-position model. The record is from RNAcentral.